GGAGGAACACCGGUGGCGAAGGCGGGUCUCUGGGCCGUUACUGACGCUGAGGAGCGAGAGCGUGGGGAGCGAACAGGAUUAGAUAUCCUGGUAGUCCAUGCUGUAAACGGUGGGCACUAGGUGUGGGGCUCGUUGGGGUUCUGCGCCGUAGCUAACGCUUUAAGUGCCCCGCCUGGGGAGUACGGCCGCAAGGCUAAAACUCAAAGGAAUUGACGGGGGCCCGCACAAGCGGCGGAGCAUGCGGAUUAAUUCGAUGCAACGCGAAGAACCUUACCAAGGCUUGACAUGCGCUGGGAGCCUCAUGAGAGUGGGGUGCCGGUUUUCCGGCUGGCGUGCAGGUGGUGCAUGGUUGUCGUCAGCUCGUGUCGUGAGAUGUUGGGUUAAGUCCCGCAACGAGCGCAACCCUUGUCUCGUGUUGCCAGCACUUUGGGUGGGGACUCGCGGGAGACUGCCGGGGUUAACUCGGAGGAGGGUGGGGAUGACGUCAAAUCAUCAUGCCCCUUAUGUCUUGGGCUUCACGCAUGCUACAAUGGCCGGUGACAGUGGGGUGCGAUGCCGUGAGGUGGAGCGGAUCCGUGAAAGCCGGUCUCAGUUCGGAUUGGGGUCUGCAACUCGACCCCAUGAAGGUGGAGUCGCUAGUAAUCGCAGAUCAGCAGUGCUGCGGUGAAUACGUUCUCGGGCCUUGUACACACCGCCCGUCACGUCAUGAAAGUUGGCAACGCCCGAAGCCCGUGGCUUAACGCCUUCCUUGUGGGGGUGGGGGAGCGGUCGAA
Molecule: ribosomal RNA, 773 nt
Filed under: uncultured bacterium
Lineage: Bacteria
Description: bacterial SSU rRNA
Rfam family: Bacterial small subunit ribosomal RNA
Source: RNAcentral